GACGAACGCUGGCGGCGUGCUUAACACAUGCAAGUCGAGCGGUAAGGCCCUUUCGGGGGUACACGAGCGGCGAACGGGUGAGUAACACGUGGGUGACCUGCCCUCAGCUCUGGGAUAAGCCUGGGAAACCGGGUCUAAUACUGGAUAUGACUCCAUGACGCAUGUUGUGGGGUGGAAAGCCUUGUGCGGCUGAGGAUGGGCCCGCGGCCUAUCAGCUCGUUGGUGGGGUGAGGCCUACCAAGGCGACGACGGGUAGCCGGCCUGAGAGGGCGACCGGCCACACUGGGACUGAGACACGGCCCAGACUCCUACGGGAGGCAGCAGUGGGGAAUCUUGCGCAAUGGGCGAAAGCCUGACGCAGCGA
Molecule: ribosomal RNA, 364 nt
Filed under: uncultured bacterium
Lineage: Bacteria
Description: bacterial SSU rRNA
Rfam family: Bacterial small subunit ribosomal RNA
Source: RNAcentral